CCCCGGUAGUCCCUGGCCGUAAACGAUGGGUACUAGGUGUAGGAGGUAUCGACCCCUUCUGUGCUGGAGUUAACGCAAUAAGUACCCCGCCUGGGGAGUACGACCGCAAGGUUGAAACUCAAAGGAAUUGACGGGGGCCCGCACAAGCGGUGGGAGUAUGUGGUUUAAUUCGACGCAAACGCGAAGAACCUUACCAGGUCUUGACAUUGAUGGACAGAACUAGAGAUAGUUCCUCCUCUUCGGAAGCCAGAAAACAAGUGGUGCACGGUUGUCGUCAGCUCGUGUCGUGAGAUGUUGGGCUAAGUCCAGCAACGAGCGCAACCCCUAUCUUAUGUUGCCAGCACGUAAUGGUGGGAACUCAUGAGAGACUGCCGCAGACAAUGCGGAGGAAGGCGGGGAUGGCGUCAAAUCUUCAUGCCCCUUAUGACCUGGGCUACACACGUACUACAAUGGGAGUUAAUAGACGGAAGCGAGAUCGCGAGAUGGAGCAAACCCGAGAAACACUCUCUCAGUUCGGAUCGUAGGCUGCAACUCGCCUACGUGAAGUCGGAAUCGCUAGUAAUCGCAGGUCAGCAUACUGCGGUGAAUACGUUCCCGGGCCUUGUGCACACCGCCCGUCACACCACGAAAGUCGGAAGUGCCCAAAGCCGGUGGGGUAACCUUCGGGAGCCAGCCGUCUAAGGUAAAGUCGAUGGUUAAAGGGAAGUCGUAACAAGGUAGCCG
Molecule: ribosomal RNA, 723 nt
Filed under: uncultured bacterium
Lineage: Bacteria
Description: bacterial SSU rRNA
Rfam family: Bacterial small subunit ribosomal RNA
Source: RNAcentral